AACAAUAAAACAUCGAGUAUUUUGUCAAGCAUGAAACAUUAGGAAGUAACAAUACACAACUUAAAACAUUAGAAGAGUUGAAAAGCUUCGGAUCAACGUUUCCCAUUUUGACAGCCUCUCUACAUCCAUCAAUCAAAGAGU
Rhodamnia argentea is the source of this 141-nucleotide long non-coding RNA. RefSeq lists it as uncharacterized. The record is from RefSeq and is a predicted model, not a curated record. NCBI's taxonomy places the organism in Eukaryota, Viridiplantae, Streptophyta, Magnoliopsida, Myrtales, Myrtaceae. The transcript has 2 exons.